CCUACGGGAGGCAGCAGUGAGGAAUAUUGCACAAUGGGGGAAACCCUGAUGCAGCGAAGCCGCGUGAGUGAAGAAGGAUUUAGGUACGUAAAGCUCUAUCAGCAGGGAAGAAAAUGACGGUACCUGACUAAGAAGCCCCGUCUAACUACGUGCCAGGAGCCGCGGUCACACGUAGGGGGCAGGAGUUAUCCGGAUUUACUGGGUGUAAAGGGGGCGUAGACGGCAGCGCAGGUCCGGAGGGAAAUCCCAGGGCUUAACCAUGGAACUGCUGUGGAAACUGUGCAGCUGGAGUGCAGUAGAGGUAAGCGGAAUUCCUGGUGUAGCGGUGAAAUGCGUAGAUAUUAGGCGGAACACCAGUGGCGAAGGCGGCGUACUGGACUGUAACUGACGUUGAGGCUCGAAGGCGUGGGGAGCAAACAGGAUUAGAUACCCCAGUAGUC
Molecule: ribosomal RNA, 440 nt
Filed under: uncultured bacterium
Lineage: Bacteria
Description: partial 16S ribosomal RNA
Rfam family: Bacterial small subunit ribosomal RNA
Source: RNAcentral